Molecule: ribosomal RNA, 506 nt
Filed under: uncultured bacterium
Lineage: Bacteria
Description: bacterial SSU rRNA
Rfam family: Bacterial small subunit ribosomal RNA
Source: RNAcentral
UGAGGGAUAUUGCACAAUGGGCGAAAGCCUGAUGCAGCGACGCCGCGUGGGUGAUGAAGGUCUUCGGAUCGUAAAGCCCUUUUCUGCAUGACGAGCAAGGACGGUAGUGCAGGAAUAAGUCUCGGCUAACUACGUGCCAGCAGCCGCGGUAAAACGUAGGAGGCAAGCGUUAUCCGGAGUUACUGGGCGUAAAGCGUGGGUAGGUGGUUGGACAAGUUCGGUGUGAAAGCGCCCGGCUUAACCGGGCGAGGGCAUUGAAGACUGUUCGGCUAGAGGGUGGUAGAGGGGCGUAGAAUUCCGGGUGUAGCGGUGAAAUGUGUAGAGAUCCGGAGGAAUACCAGUGGUGCAGACGGCGCCCUGGGCCACACCUGACACUGAGCCACGAAAGCGUGGGGAGCGAACGGGAUUAGAGACCCCGGUAGUCCACGCCGUAAACGAUGCGAACUAGGUGCGCACGGGUCGCAAGACCAGGGCGUGCCGCAGCUAACGCCAUAAGUUCGCCGCCU